This 467-nucleotide ribosomal RNA is filed under the name uncultured bacterium. RNAcentral's name for it is "partial 16S ribosomal RNA". It matches the Rfam family "Bacterial small subunit ribosomal RNA", at positions 28 to 506 of the family's 1533-position model. The record is from RNAcentral.
GACGAACGCUGGCGGCGUGCUUAACACAUGCAAGUCGAACGGAAAGGCCCUGCUUUUGUGGGGUGCUCGAGUGGCGAACGGGUGAGUAACACGUGAGUAACCUGCCCUUGACUUUGGGAUAACUUCAGGAAACUGGGGCUAAUACCGGAUAGGAGCUCCUGCUGCAUGGUGGGGGUUGGAAAGUUUCGGCGGUUGGGGAUGGACUCGCGGCUUAUCAGCUUGUUGGUGGGGUAGUGGCUUACCAAGGCUUUGACGGGUAGCCGGCCUGAGAGGGUGACCGGCCAAAUGGGAACGGAGAUACGGCCAAGACCCCUAGGGGGGGGAGGAGGGGGGAAAAUGGCAAAAGGGGGGGAAGCCGGAUGCAGCAACGCCGGGUGGGGGAGGAGGGCCUUGGGGUGGAAAACCGCUUUCGCUUGGGACGAAGGGGGGGGGAGGGAAAUGGGGAAAGAAGCACCGGCGAAAUAGGG